This 491-nucleotide ribosomal RNA is filed under the name uncultured bacterium. Its description in RNAcentral is "partial 16S ribosomal RNA". It matches the Rfam family "Bacterial small subunit ribosomal RNA", at positions 28 to 507 of the family's 1533-position model. The record is from RNAcentral.
GAUGAACGCUAGCUACAGGCUUAACACAUGCAAGUCGCGGGGCAGCAUGGGGGUUGCUUGCCACCCCUGAUGGCGACCGGCGCACGGGUGAGUAACGCGUAUCCAACCUGCCCUUCACCACGGGAUAACCCGGCGAAAGUCGGACUAAUACCGUAUGUUGUCCAUUGACGGCCUCCGAUUUGGACGAAAUGCUUGGCGGUGAAAGGAUGGGGAUGCGUCCGAUUAGCUUGACGGCGGGGUAACGGCCCACCGUGGCUACGAUCGGUAGGGGUUCUGAGAGGAAGGUCCCCCACACUGGAACUGAGACACGGUCCAGACUCCUACGGGAGGCAGCAGUGAGGAAUAUUGGUCAAUGGGCGUAAGCCUGAACCAGCCAAGUAGCGUGCAGGAUGACGGCCCUAUGGGUUGUAAACUGCUUUUAUGCGGGGAUAAAGUGGCCCACGUGUGGGCUUUUGCAGGUACCGCAUGAAUAAGGACCGGCUAAUUCCGUG